RNAcentral lists this ribosomal RNA (512 nucleotides) under bacterium enrichment culture clone ALO1_GLFRUDD03FX0SP. RNAcentral's name for it is "bacterial SSU rRNA". It matches the Rfam family "Bacterial small subunit ribosomal RNA", at positions 9 to 517 of the family's 1533-position model. RNAcentral also lists the same sequence under 1 other name. The record is from RNAcentral.
GAGUUUGAUCUUGGCUCAGAUUGAACGCUGGCGGCAGGCCUAACACAUGCAAGUCGAGCGGAUGACGGGAGCUUGCUCCUUGAUUCAGCGGCGGACGGGUGAGUAAUGCCUAGGAAUCUGCCUGGUAGUGGGGGACAACGUUUCGAAAGGAACGCUAAUACCGCAUACGUCCUACGGGAGAAAGCAGGGGACCUUCGGGCCUUGCGCUAUCAGAUGAGCCUAGGUCGGAUUAGCUAGUUGGUGGGGUAAUGGCUCACCAAGGCGACGAUCCGUAACUGGUCUGAGAGGAUGAUCAGUCACACUGGAACUGAGACACGGUCCAGACUCCUACGGGAGGCAGCAGUGGGGAAUAUUGGACAAUGGGCGAAAGCCUGAUCCAGCCAUGCCGCGUGUGUGAAGAAGGUCUUCGGAUUGUAAAGCACUUUAAGUUGGGAGAAGGGCAGUAAGUUAAUACCUUGCUGUUUUGACGUUACCGACAGAAUAAGCACCGGCUAACUCUGUGCCAGCAGCCG